AAAUGCGAUAACUAGUGUGAAUUGCAGAAUUCCGUGAAUCAUCGAGUCUUUGAACGCACAUUGCGCCCCCUGGUAUUCCGGGGGGCAUGCCUGUCCGAGCGUCAUUGCUGCCCAUCAAGCACGGCUUGUGUGUUGGGUCGUCGUCCCCUCUUCGGGGGGGACGGGCCCCAAAGGCAGCGGCGGCACCGCGUCCGAUCCUCGAGCGUAUGGGGCUUUGUCACCCGCUCUGUAGGCCCGGCCGGCGCUUGCCGAACGCAAAUCAAUCUUUUCCAGGUUGACCUCGGAUCAGGUAGGGAUACCCGCUGAACUUAAGC
RNAcentral lists this unclassified non-coding RNA (314 nucleotides) under plant metagenome. RNAcentral describes it as "partial contains 5.8S ribosomal RNA, internal transcribed spacer 2, and large subunit ribosomal RNA". The stretch from base 1 to 104 matches the Rfam family "5.8S ribosomal RNA", at positions 51 to 154 of the family's 154-position model. The record is from RNAcentral.